CCGCGCGCUGCAGCCGCCGCGUGCAGGUGGUCAUGAGCUCCGCCAUGGCGUGCAGGAGGGUGGCGCCGGCCAUCGCCAUCGCCCCCGGCCGCUUGUCGCUGGCUGCUUCUCGCGGCGGCGACUCCAGCUUGGAGGGUUUCCUUUCGCGGGGUUUGGCUUCUGUUUGGAGGCGGCGGUUUGAUUGAUUUGGCGCCAUAUAUAGCCGAGCCGGGGCUGGGGUACGUGUGGUGUGCGUUGGGGAAGUCAGACCGGUGGGGUCAGGGGGAAGGAUUUGUCCAAUAAAUUACCACUUAAAAGUUUGACAUGUAAUAUAAUGCAGAUGAAGUGUUAAUUUUUAAUCCAUAAGUCGUCUCGAGCAUGUUUACGUGCUAAAUCAACGUACGAAGACGAUGAUAGUGAUAUACGUGGAAGUGAAUCCUCGAUGUAGGUAAUAGCAAUGGUAAUAUCAAGUUAUUCUCGUCUAUAUUAUCGGCA
This 474-nucleotide long non-coding RNA is filed under the name Oryza brachyantha (malo sina). RNAcentral describes it as "long non-coding RNA (OBRA_LNC001733)". The record is from RNAcentral. Lineage: Eukaryota; Viridiplantae; Streptophyta; Magnoliopsida; Poales; Poaceae.